Molecule: non-coding RNA, 72 nt
Organism: Ictidomys tridecemlineatus (thirteen-lined ground squirrel)
Lineage: Eukaryota; Metazoa; Chordata; Mammalia; Rodentia; Sciuridae
Source: Rfam
GGGGAUGUAGCUCAGUGGUAGAGCACUUGCCUUGCAUGCACAAGGCCCUGGUUUUGAUCCUCAGCACCAUCU